This is a long non-coding RNA of Nothoprocta perdicaria, 283 nucleotides long. RefSeq lists it as uncharacterized. The transcript has 3 exons. Lineage: Eukaryota; Metazoa; Chordata; Aves; Tinamiformes; Tinamidae. The record is from RefSeq and is a predicted model, not a curated record.
GGUGGACUCUUCAAGAACUGGGACAAUAAAAGGACUACAUUUUACCCCCCAAKGGGAGGGAGAUGCGCGUUAAGAGAGAAGCUUCUUUUCCUUCUUCUCAACUCCUUUCCAAGAAAAUCAUCACCUGCACCGAGGCAGAGAUGACGAAACGUAACUCGACUGGUGGUGUGCAGCAACACAGCCGUGUUCUAUAGGUGUCAUGGCCAGAAACUCCUCCAAGCAGUGACUUACAGUGAGGUGAGGUGAUCUGAGCAGCUCAGGAAUGUUGGAAUUUAUUGGUCCA